GACGUGGGGUGCGAGCGUUGUCCGGAUUUAUUGGGCGUAAAGAGCUCGUAGGCGGCUCGUCGCGUCGACCGUGAAAACCCGCGGCUUAACUGCGGGCUUGCGGUUGAUACGGGCGGGCUAGAGUUCGGUAGGGGAGACUGGAAUUCCUGGUGUAGCGGUGAAAUGCGCAGAUAUCAGGAGGAACACCGGUGGCGAAGGCGGGUCUCUGGGCCGAUACUGACGCUGAGGAGCGAAAGCGUGGGGAGCGAACAGG
This 253-nucleotide ribosomal RNA is filed under the name uncultured bacterium. RNAcentral describes it as "partial 16S ribosomal RNA". It matches the Rfam family "Bacterial small subunit ribosomal RNA", at positions 524 to 776 of the family's 1533-position model. The record is from RNAcentral.